RNAcentral lists this ribosomal RNA (673 nucleotides) under uncultured bacterium. Its description in RNAcentral is "bacterial SSU rRNA". It matches the Rfam family "Bacterial small subunit ribosomal RNA", at positions 9 to 683 of the family's 1533-position model. The record is from RNAcentral.
GAGUUUGAUCCUGGCUCAGGAUGAACGCUGGCGGCGUGCUUAACACAUGCAAGUCGAACGGGAAGCGGUGCAUAUUUGCUUAGGUGAAUUUUGUGCCGUGGAGAGUGGCGAACGGGUGCGUAACACGUAGGUAACCUGCCCCGAAAGGGGGAUAACCACGGGAAACUGUGGCUAAUACCGCAUGAUCUCGCCGGGACGAGAGUUCGGUGAGGAAAGCUGAGGCGAUUUGGGAGGGGCCUGCGGUCGAUUAGCUGGUUGGUGGGGUAAAGGCCUACCAAGGCGAUGAUCGAUAGCUGUUCUGAGAGGAAGACCAGCCACACGGGAACUGAGACACGGUUCCGACUCCUACGGGGGGCAGCAGUGAGGAAUAUUWCGCAAUGGGGGAAACCCUGACGCAGUAACGCCGCGUGGAGGACGAAGGUUUUCGGAUUGUAAACUCCUUAACUGGGGGAAGAGGAAGGACGGUACCCCAGGACGAAGACACGGCUAACUAGGUGCCAGCAGCCGCGGUAAUACCUAGGUGUCAAGCGUUAUCCGGAAUUACUGGGCGUAAAGGGUGCGCAGGCGGCGAUACAAGUCUGGCGUGAAAGCUCCUGGCUUAACUNGGAGAGGACGUCGGAAACUNUAUGGCUAGAGUGAAUAAAAGGRGGGCGGAAAUCCCGGUGUAGUGGUG